GACCUCUAUCAAAUUGAUGGUCAAAUUCAUUCUUUAUGAGGCCUAGAUUUUGAAGUCCACCAGAUUUUUUAGACAUCUCAACAUACAUCUUUCUUGUCCGUUCACUAACCGCAUGUAAAGUGUCGAUGUUAUUCUUUUCAGCUAAUUUAACAUUCUUACGAAUUCGGAAAUGAUAAGCUAAGGCAGGUAAUAGCUCGUGAUUGUGCUCCUUUAUAAAUUCAUGAAUAUACCAUUUUCCAUCUCGCUUUCUCUUCACAUUCUUCUAGUGCCAAGUACCGACCUCUAUCAAAUUGAUGGUCAAAUUCAUUCUUUAUGAGGCCUAGAUUUUGAAGUCCACCAGAUUGUUUAGACAUCUCAACAUACAUCUUUCUUGUCCGUUCACUAACCGCAUGUAAAAUGUCGAUGUUAUUCUUUUCAGCUAAUUUAACAUUCUUACGAAUUCGGAAAUGGUAAGCUAAGGCAGGUAAUAGCUCGUGAUUGUGCUCCUUUAUAAAUUCAUGAAUAUACCAUUUUCCAUCUCGCUUUCUCUUCACAUGCAUGCUCGCUUUACAAUCUGUCUUUUUCACACUCGGACGUCUACUACUGCUGCUAUCAGAUUCUGGUGCGACUCCA
Molecule: long non-coding RNA, 612 nt
Filed under: Olea europaea (common olive)
Lineage: Eukaryota; Viridiplantae; Streptophyta; Magnoliopsida; Lamiales; Oleaceae
Description: long non-coding RNA (OEUR_LNC005347)
Source: RNAcentral